This 497-nucleotide ribosomal RNA is filed under the name uncultured bacterium. RNAcentral's name for it is "partial 16S ribosomal RNA". It matches the Rfam family "Bacterial small subunit ribosomal RNA", at positions 28 to 507 of the family's 1533-position model. The record is from RNAcentral.
GAUGAACGCUGGCGGCGUGCCUAAUACAUGCAAGUCGAGCGAACGGACGAGAAGCUUGCUUCUCUGAUGUUAGCGGCGGACGGGUGAGUAACACGUGGAUAACCUACCUAUAAGACUGGGAUAACUUCGGGAAACCGGAGCUAAUACCGGAUGAUAUUUUGAACCGCAUGGUUCAAAAGUGAAAGACGGUCUUGCUGUCACUUAUAGAUGGAUCCGCGCUGCAUUAGCUAGUUGGUAAGGUAACGGCUCACCAAGGCAACGAUGCAUAGCCGACCUGAGAGGGUGAUCGGCCACACUGGAACUGAGACACGGUCCAGACUCCUACGGGAGGCAGCAGUAGGGAAUCUUCCGCAAUGGGCGAAAGCCUGACGGAGCAACGCCGCGUGAGUGAUGAAGGUCUUCGGAUCGUAAAACUCUGUUAUUAGGGAAGAACAUAUGUGUAAGUAACUGCGCACAUCUUGACGGUACCUAAUCAGAAAGCCACGGCUAACUACGUG